This 523-nucleotide small RNA is filed under the name Pongo abelii (Sumatran orangutan). RNAcentral's name for it is "retained intron". The record is from RNAcentral. Lineage: Eukaryota; Metazoa; Chordata; Mammalia; Primates; Hominidae.
AAACUGGGCCCUGAAGCAGCAGAGGGCUUUGCCCAGCGUGGUGGCACUAGACUGGGACAGACUAGGAUGAGGUGCCGGGCCCUUCCUGCUACUGGUGUCCUUUCUCCUCAGUCACAAGGACAUAGUAGCUGAGGGGUUGCGCCAGCUGCUGGGGGAGGAGAAAUACCGCCAGGACCUGACUGUGCCUCCAGGCUACUGCACAGGUGAGCAAGGGGCAGGCGGCAGGCCCAGGGAGACGGAGCCCUGGCUAAGGCCGCCGGCCCUGCUCCCCCUCCAGACUUCCUGCUGUGCGUCAGCAGCUCUGGUGCUGUGCUUCCCGUGAGGACCCAGGACCCCUUCCUGCCAUACCCACCAAGGUCCUGCCCACAGGGCCAGGCCGCCUCUAGCCCCACUACUCGAGACCCUGCCCAGAGGUAAGGGAGGCAGGGUGGGGGAGCCCUGGCCACCUUGCCCGCCAUGCCCUGAGCCACAUCCCUCCCCCUGCAGGGUGGUGCUGGUGUUGCGGGAACGCUGGCAUUUCUGC